UACGGAGGAUGCGAGCGUUAUCCGGAUUUAUUGGGUUUACAGGGUGCGUAGGCGGUAUGGUAAGUCAGCGGUAAAAGCCCGGGGCUCAACCCCGGCGAGCCGUUGAAACUGGCGUUCUUGAGUGGAAGAGAAGUAUGCGGAAUGCGUGGUGUAGCGGUGAAAUGCAUAGAUAUCACGCAGAACCCCGAUUGCGAAGGCAGCAUGCCGGCCUCCGACUGACGCUGAAGCACGAAAGCGUGGGGAUCGAACAGG
This 252-nucleotide ribosomal RNA is filed under the name uncultured Bacteroidales bacterium. RNAcentral's name for it is "partial 16S ribosomal RNA". It matches the Rfam family "Bacterial small subunit ribosomal RNA", at positions 524 to 776 of the family's 1533-position model. The record is from RNAcentral. Lineage: Bacteria; Pseudomonadati; Bacteroidota; Bacteroidia; Bacteroidales.